UCACCCCUCAAGCCCGGCUUGAUGUUGGACUUUUAGGUCUGGAUCUCUUCCACGACCGGUCCCAAAGACAAUGACGGCGUCCCCUGGACCCUUGGUGCAACGAGCUUCUUACCAAGCACGCAUCGAGUUGCAAGGUCCCGGGGCACGGUCCUCACCUUACACACUUCUUAA
This 171-nucleotide unclassified non-coding RNA is filed under the name uncultured fungus. Its description in RNAcentral is "sequence contains ITS2". The record is from RNAcentral. Lineage: Eukaryota; Fungi.